CGGUAUGCCAGGUUGUUGGGAAAACCGAUCAAAAAAGAAAUAAAAAAAUUUCCAUAGAAUUAAAAUAGUUUAAUUAAGUCAAAAAAAAUCUGUUUCUGUCCUAGAUUUUCACCAUCCAAAUAGCUGAAAGUUUUAAUUUUUUAUAUGUUUUUUAUUUUUUAUUUUAAAUUUUUUUAAGCAGCUAAAUUUGUCAAUAUAGAAAAUGAAUUUUAGGAGGAGUGAAACUGAUCAAUACUUUCAAAUUUCCAAAUUCUAAUGAAGUUCGAUUUGGAUCAUCCAGUGCAAUUGCCAAUAUGAAAUAGUUAGCGUAUUUUCAAAUUUAAGAAUAUACAUGCUGUUCAUGGCAAGAUGUAAAAGAGACAAAAAAUGUCGAUGUUGCUAGAUCAACCUUAUGAAGUAACAUUUUCUUUUAAAUUUUGUGGAGUGAUUGAUUAUACCCCUAUUUGAUUUUGAUGAGCUCAAAGCAUUUGAGUAUAUCUUAUGUUGUACUAAUGAAUUCAAUCUAGUGUUUCGGCGAAUUUAUGUGAAUUUCUGUUCAAGUGCCUCUAGCUUUGGUCCAAAGUAAUUUUGCUAAGUGUUGAACUCAGUUUGAACUAAAGUCUGAAGCUCGAGUCGACUCCGGAAGAUUACGAGUCGACUCCAAGUGUUUCAGAGGUUCUGG
This 661-nucleotide long non-coding RNA is filed under the name Phoenix dactylifera (date palm). RNAcentral describes it as "long non-coding RNA (PDAC_LNC011175)". The record is from RNAcentral. Lineage: Eukaryota; Viridiplantae; Streptophyta; Magnoliopsida; Arecales; Arecaceae.